This 485-nucleotide ribosomal RNA is filed under the name uncultured bacterium. RNAcentral describes it as "partial 16S ribosomal RNA". It matches the Rfam family "Bacterial small subunit ribosomal RNA", at positions 28 to 506 of the family's 1533-position model. The record is from RNAcentral.
AGUGAACGCUGGCGGUACGCCUAACACAUGCAAGUCGAACGGCAGCACAUUAAUUGCUUUCUCGUACGGGUGUCGAGUAGCGGCCAAGGGGUGAGUACAUCGUAAGCUACCUGUUCGUGGGUGAGGACGAAGGGAGAGUUACUGUGAUACAUCAUAGGACCGACGGGUGAAAGCUGGGUAUGUUCGGACCUUGCGCUAUUGAAGGAGCUGAUGUCCUAUUAGCUUGUUGGCGGGGUAAAGGGGCACUAGGGCGGCGACGGGUAGCCGGCCUGCGUGGGCGGCCGGGCACAUUGGGCCUGGGCUACGGUCCAGACUGCUGCGGGAGGCAGCAGUGGGGAAUAUUGCACGAUGGGCGGAAGCCUGAUGCAGCGGCGCCGCGUGGGGGAUGACGGCCUUCGGGGUCUAAACUCCGUUCGACAGCGAGGAAGCCACCUGGUCGGAAGGGUGUGGACGGUAGUGGUAGAAGAAGCACCGGCAAACUACGU